UCCCACUCCUGUAAACCGAGUUUUCUGGCA
RNAcentral lists this non-coding RNA (30 nucleotides) under Mus musculus (house mouse). Lineage: Eukaryota; Metazoa; Chordata; Mammalia; Rodentia; Muridae. The record is from RNAcentral.